Molecule: non-coding RNA, 22 nt
Filed under: Arabidopsis thaliana (thale cress)
Lineage: Eukaryota; Viridiplantae; Streptophyta; Magnoliopsida; Brassicales; Brassicaceae
Source: RNAcentral
AGACUCAGUUUUAUGCCGUUUA